UGAUCUUCCUGCCUUGGCCUCAAAGGUACUGGGAUUACAGUUACUCGCUGGAAGUGGUGGGAAUCAUAAAAAACAACCAGGACCUUGCAUCCUAGUAUAGAAGCCACAACUGUGGAAGCUUAACAGCCAGGCAAAUGCCCACAAACCACCACCCUCUGCAUUGGAUGCAUAUGUCCCUGACCUCGCAAGUGAAAAAGAGAGGAAGACGGCGACACCUCCAGGCUUCAGACUCAUUAAUCCUGUGAAUCGUGACCCACUCUUAAAACCAAGGAAGAGGGAAGUUUGGACACAGACACACACAGACAAGAGAAUACCAUGUGACAAAGGCAGAGAUUGGAAUGAUACAGCUGCAAGCCAGGGAUGCCAAGGAUUGCAGGAUGGAGUGCAGUGUCAUGAUCAUAGCUCACUGCAGCCUCG
Molecule: long non-coding RNA, 417 nt
Filed under: Homo sapiens (human)
Lineage: Eukaryota; Metazoa; Chordata; Mammalia; Primates; Hominidae
Description: HSALNT0368776
Source: RNAcentral